This is a non-coding RNA of Agrilus planipennis (emerald ash borer), 72 nucleotides long. Lineage: Eukaryota; Metazoa; Arthropoda; Insecta; Coleoptera; Buprestidae. The record is from Rfam.
CCUCUCGUAGUUUAGUGGUAGAAUAUUGGUGAGUAAAGCCAAAGGUUCCGGGUUCGAUUCCCGGCGGGGGUG